AAGGUAGAUAGAACAGGUCUUGUU
Molecule: non-coding RNA, 24 nt
Filed under: Callithrix jacchus (white-tufted-ear marmoset)
Lineage: Eukaryota; Metazoa; Chordata; Mammalia; Primates; Cebidae
Also listed under: 4 other names
Source: RNAcentral